ACGCUCGACAGUGCCAGCAGCCGACGGGUAAUACAGAGGUGCAAGCGUUAAUCGGAAAGUUACUGGGCGUAAAGCGCGCGUAGGUGGUUUGUUAAAGUUGGAUAGUGAAAUCCCCGGGCUCAACCUGGGAACUGCAUCCAAAACUGGCAAGCUAGAGUAUGGUAGAGGGUGGUGGAAUUUCCUGUGUAGCGGUGAAAUGCGUAAGAUAAUAGGAAGGAACACCAGUGGCAAGGCGACCACCUGGACUGAUACUGACACGUGAGGU
RNAcentral lists this ribosomal RNA (265 nucleotides) under uncultured bacterium. Its description in RNAcentral is "partial 16S ribosomal RNA". It matches the Rfam family "Bacterial small subunit ribosomal RNA", at positions 492 to 752 of the family's 1533-position model. The record is from RNAcentral.